GACGAACGCUGGCGGCGUGCUUAACACAUGCAAGUCGAACGGAAAGGCCCUGCUUCUGUGGGGUGUUCGAGUGGCGAACGGGUGAGUAAGACGAGAGUAACCUGACCUUGACUCUGGGAUAACUUCAGGAAACUGGGGCUAAUGCCUGUUAGCAGCUCCUGCUGCAUGGUGGGGGUUGUGAAGUUUCGGCGGAUGGGGAUGGACUCGCGGCUUAUCAGCGUGGUGGUGGGGUUGUGGCUUACCAAGGCUUUGACGGGUAGCCGGCCUGAGAGGGUGACCGGCCACAUUGGGACUGAGAGACGGCGCAGACGCCGACGGGAGGCAGCAGUGGGGAAUAUGGCACAAUGGGCGGAAGCCUGAGGCAGCAACGCCGCGUGCGGGAUGACGGCCUUCGGGUUGUAAACCGCUGUCGCCUGUGACGAAGCGUGAGUGACGGUAAUGGGUAAAGAAGCACCGGCUAACUACGUG
RNAcentral lists this ribosomal RNA (468 nucleotides) under uncultured bacterium. Its description in RNAcentral is "partial 16S ribosomal RNA". It matches the Rfam family "Bacterial small subunit ribosomal RNA", at positions 28 to 507 of the family's 1533-position model. The record is from RNAcentral.